UGUUAUUAUUCUGUUCUCCUCUCCCCGCCUCAUCUCCACGCACGCUCCGAUGGCGGUGGCUCUUCGUCUCUCCAAGCCACCAUCUUCUUUCCCGACCCACCCUGUCGCUCCAUCUCUACUGUGCUAUUCGCAGUUGUUCUCCUCGCUGCAAAGGAGGACCGCUUCUCCGCUUCGCUGCCGCUGCUCCAAGAAGAAGGAGACCAGCUUCGCGGACCAACUCCUCGACUACAUAGAAGGUGGACCUAAGUUGAGGAAGUGGUAUGGAGCACCUGAUCUACUUCCAAAGGAUGGUGGUCUUGAGAAUGAGGAUGAAUCUUCAGAAAUCGAUGAAGUACGAGAUGCUGUGCUGGUAACUGAUGGUGAAAGUGAAAUUGGUCAGAUGGUAAUUCUAUCAUUGAUUCUUAAACGUGCUCGGAUAAAAGCACUAGUCAAGGAUAAGCGAGCUGCUAUCGAUGCUUUUGGAACUUAUGUUGAGACAAUGGUUGGAGAUUUAAAUGACAAGACCUUUCUGACAAAUGCUCUGAGAGGUGUUCGAGCAAUAAUUUGUGCAUCAAAUGAUGGCUUCUUCUCUGACAUAGGGCGAACAAAGGGUGCGCAGCACAUUGUUCUUCUAUCUCAGUUGGCAUUUUAUAGAGGCAGCAGCGGAAUUCAAGCAGUUAUGAAUAGCAAGGCCAGAAAACUGGCAGAGAGAGAUGAAGAAACCGUGAUUGCGUCUGGCAUCCCAUACACAAUAAUUAGAGCUGGCUUACUGCAAGAUAGUCCUGGUGGCAAGCAAGGAUUCAGCUUUUCAAAGGUUGUUUUUUAGGUCUCUCCAUCCAGUGACCGAAGAAAUAAAUGUAAUCAUCAGAUGGACCAUGAAGAAAAGAAAUGACAGAAUAUAGCCGUAAUUGUUCAAUAUGCAGCAUGCUAAUAAACUUGCACUUCCAUCAUAAAAAAAAAAAAAAGUACCUGGACUCUAUGGUGUAUAAUUUUGCAUUGAUUUCAGUGAUCAUGUUGAGACUUGCAUCCGGAACAUGUGAUCCAUGAGGCUGACUUCCCACAUAAUUUUUGAGAAAAUAACUCAUCCUCGCGCACAAGCAUAUGGUUUUGUAUUUUUGUGUUAGGGUGCUGCAGCAAAGGGAAGACUCAGCAAAGAGGAUGCAGCAGCCGUUUGUGUGGAGGCACUUGAUUCACUGCCAGAGGAAGGACUAAUUUUAGAGGUGGUAAACGGCGAGGAAAAGGUUCGAGA
Molecule: RNA transcript, 1228 nt
Organism: Musa acuminata subsp. malaccensis (wild Malaysian banana)
Lineage: Eukaryota; Viridiplantae; Streptophyta; Magnoliopsida; Zingiberales; Musaceae
Source: RefSeq, a predicted model, not a curated record